UUCUCCCUGACAUUCUGGUUGGAGCUGAGCAGAGCCAUCACCAGGAGGCACUGUGGCACCAACAAUGCAAAAUGCUGGUUGGGUUUAUGGUGUUGAUCAUUAUUCACUGCUAAGUCUUCUGGAGCUGUGGAAGUGUCCAUUCAGAGGAGAGAAGCAAGAACACAUUGAUCUUAUUUGGACAGGCUUUUGUCUGGGACACAUCCAAACCCAAACAGCCAGGGGACGGACCACAAAAGGGUGUUACAUCCGGCAGGAGUGGCCAGGUGCAUCUGUGGCUCCUUACAAUCAGCAGAGAUGGUUAAAAGCUGAGCCAACAUGAUCAUCGUCGCCAGCAGUGGCUCAGAUCAGCUGCUAGUGUGCUGUGUUGGUGUCUCGUCUAAACCCAGGAGUGUGGUGCUUAAAGGACUUUGUGACAGUGGGAUCAGCUUGUGUUUAAGAAGCUCGCUUUGUGUUGGAUUUUGGUUUUGUUACUUUUUUGUAAAUAAACAAUUUCUUUGUUACAUGAUCAGUUUGAAAACUCUCAGGAUCUUGUUCACGAGUGAUGGGAAAACGGAGCGAGUCCGUGGACACUUCCUUUGGAGGUUUUCCAAGCACAUCCACCUAGGAGGAGACCCCAGGGUAGACCCAGAACCUGCUGGAGGGAUUAUGUAUCUCGUCUGGCCUGGGAACGCCUCUGGAUUAUCCAGGAAGAGCUGGAAAGCGUUGCCGGAGGGAAGGACGUCUGGAAUGACCUGCUUCAUCUGCUGCCUCUAUCGUUUACCUAUCUGAACCUCACUGUAAUGCUCUUCAUGUUUUAUGUAAAGCACUUUGAAUUGUCUUGGACAUGAAGGGUGCUCUACAAAUAAACUUGCCUUGCCUUGCCUCCACGACCCGACCCCGGAUAAGUGGAAGAAAAUGGAUGAAUGGAUGGAUGGAUAGAUGAUCAAUUUUCCUGCCUCUUUACCGGGUUUUUCUUUAUAUUUGUUACUCUCCUCAUCCCCUAGUUCCUGGGGACGUAACAGAUGUAUAG
Amphiprion ocellaris (clown anemonefish) is the source of this 1009-nucleotide long non-coding RNA. The record is from Ensembl. Lineage: Eukaryota; Metazoa; Chordata; Actinopteri; Pomacentridae.